Long non-coding RNA from Monodelphis domestica (gray short-tailed opossum), 1547 nucleotides. NCBI's taxonomy places the organism in Eukaryota, Metazoa, Chordata, Mammalia, Didelphimorphia, Didelphidae. The record is from Ensembl.
GAAGCCGGCCCCCUCCCGGCCCGGGCCACGACCCCUCUGCGCCCCCCUCCCCCGGCACCUUCACGCCCCCCCACCGAGGACCCCAGAAUCGAGAACCAAAGCGACGACGCGUCGAGUUUUCCCAAGGAGACUAGAAUUCUAUUGAUAGCCAGACAGUGAGCGGGAAGCCCGGACUCCUGGGACCGCCCCCCCCACCCCGCCCCACCUCACCCCAGCCUUGGAUCCUGACUUGUCCGCCUGGGCCAGGUCCUUCGGCUGCAGCCCCGCGGCUGGCCUCCGCCUAGAAGGCCCAUCCCCCUGGUGGGCUGCCUGGCUGCCUGCUCGAAAGGUCUUUUGUUUGAUCUCCCCCCUUUCCCACGGGCUGCGAGGAGGGGGAGGAGACUGGAGGAAGAGGACUAAGAGGGAUGGGGGAUGGGACUUGGAGGUGAGGGGGUUGCAACCUGCUGAGCCUGCCCUCCCUCCCCGUGGGACGCCGGGGAUGGCUCCUGGGGCCUCGGGAGGAAGGCCUGCGGGGCAGAGAAGUUCCGCCUCCUCCCCCCUCCCCCCAAGCAAGUGCACCUGUGGGUUCUUAGAGGUGCCGAGGUCAUGUGGCCUCCGGGCUCUCUGGCCGGGACCGGACCAUGAGGGGACCCCCGCUGCGGUAGGGAUGAUGGGCCAGCCCGGGCCGGUUUGGAGAAUCCCUUUCAUGGAACAGGGCAGGCCCCUGUUCGCUUUUCCUUUGCUCCUGCCCUGGGCCCUAGCAAGGUGGCUGGCUGGAGGUCCAUUUGGGGGAGUUCCUGCUGCCGCAUAGCAGACUUGGAUCAUGGGAAACCCAGCCGAGAGCCCGGCCGAGGGAAAACCACUGGAGAAAACGCCCGUUUCUUUUACAGGAUGAGAACCGCCUUUCAUCUCCGGGCCGGGCCGCUCCGGCUUCUUCGCCCUAGUUUGGAUCGAGCCCAUGUGCAGGUCAUUAUCCCACAAACAAAGAAGCCCGGAACCCUGGAGAUCCCGCCGCCGCCGCCGCCGGGCGGGGGGAGGGGGGCGGCGGGGUUCCACGGAUUGCCGGAAACCCAGUCAAGGGUAUUCAAGCGCCAGCCUGGUGGUUGGGGCUGGAAGGGAAGGGCCCGCUAUUCUGGGCAGGCAGACUCGGGGUCUCCGGCCGCAGCAGCACCUGCCUGGCCAAUGGGUGCUCUUCCUGCCCUCUCCUCUCCCCAGCGGAAGGCUGCCCGGAGGAUCCUUUCGGCAAGGCUCGCCUCUAGGCAGGGGAACCGGGUGAUGCAGGGCUGAAGGAGAAGCUUGGCGGAAAGAACGGAUGGGCUUGCUUUGGAGAAGCAGCAGCAGCGGGGCUCGGAUGGUGACCAGCAGACGGGCCUGCCCACUCCCACUCGAGCUUUGUGUUUUCGCUCUGUUCAAGUGUCAGAAUCCCAGAAAAAGUCUCAGCGUUUCCUCACCCCCUCCAGCCACCCUGUUCUGACUGUUCUUUUGGGUUCCUCCUUUCUUUUUUAUGAUGCCAACAUGAUGCUGUGAACGGAAAUAAAUUAUUUAUACAAUCUAGCCUUGGGUGCUUU